UCCUACGGGAGGCAGCAGUGGGGAAUAUUGGACAAUGGGCGAAAGCCUGAUCCAGCCAUGCCGCGUGUGUGAAGAAGGUCUUCGGAUUGUAAAGCACUUUAAGUUGGGAGGAAGGGCAGUUACCUAAUACGUAAUUGUUUUGACGUUACCGACAGAAUAAGCACCGGCUAACUCUGUGCCAGCAGCCGCGGUAA
RNAcentral lists this ribosomal RNA (194 nucleotides) under uncultured Pseudomonas sp. RNAcentral's name for it is "partial 16S ribosomal RNA". It matches the Rfam family "Bacterial small subunit ribosomal RNA", at positions 337 to 523 of the family's 1533-position model. Lineage: Bacteria; Pseudomonadati; Pseudomonadota; Gammaproteobacteria; Pseudomonadales; Pseudomonadaceae. The record is from RNAcentral.